RNAcentral lists this small RNA (27 nucleotides) under Bombyx mori (domestic silkworm). RNAcentral describes it as "ovarian small RNA-19354". The record is from RNAcentral. Lineage: Eukaryota; Metazoa; Arthropoda; Insecta; Lepidoptera; Bombycidae.
UAAGUAACUUCUUAUCCUUUCGAAUGC